This 672-nucleotide ribosomal RNA is filed under the name Gleadovia mupinensis. RNAcentral describes it as "eukaryotic LSU rRNA". The stretch from base 263 to 418 matches the Rfam family "5.8S ribosomal RNA". Lineage: Eukaryota; Viridiplantae; Streptophyta; Magnoliopsida; Lamiales; Orobanchaceae. The record is from RNAcentral.
UUUCCGUAGGUGAACCUGCGGAAGGAUCAUUGUCGAAACCUGCAAAAGCAGACCGCGAACACGUUAACUACACUGGGGAUCUCGGCUUGGGGCAACCCAAAGUCGCGUUCCCCUCCCGCACGCACGCACUCGGGUGCUUGUUUUGCGGGCUAACGAACCCCGGCGCGGCAUGCGCCAAGGAAAACUCAAAGAAGCGUCCCCCUCCCGUCGCCCCGUUUGCGGUGAGCGGUCGGGGGAAGGGACGUCUCUCCAAUGUCUGAACGACUCUCGGCAACGGAUAUCUCGGCUCUCGCAUCGAUGAAGAACGUAGCGAAAUGCGAUACUUGGUGUGAAUUGCAGAAUCCCGUGAACCAUCGAGUCUUUGAACGCAAGUUGCGCCCGAAGCCAUUCGGCGGAGGGCACGUCUGCCUGGGCGUCACGCAUCGCGUCGCUCCCCCUCAUGUCCCCACGGGGUGUGCUGUCGGCGGGGGCGGAUAUUGGCCUCCCGUGCGCGAAGACGUGCGGCCGGCCCAAAUGCGAUCCCGCAGCGACCCGCGUCACGGCCAGUGGUGGUUGAACGCUCAACUCUCGUGCUGUCGUGUCGUUUUGUGUCGCACAUCGGGCUCUGUCGCUGACCCAACGGCGCGAGCUGCUCGCGCUUCGAACGCGACCCCAGUCAGUCGGACACCCCGU